UUUGAGAACAUUUGAGAGUCAUAUCUGCAAUGUCCUUGAUUUGUUCCUUGUAAACAAAAGAAUACCAAAUCAUCUUGGAUCUGCUUCAGUAUAAACAUCUGAAGGUUAGAUCUGCCAUAUUUGAGAACGUCUGAGAGCAAAAUCUGCUAUGUCUUCGAUUUGUUUCUUGUAAACACAAGAAUACCAAACCAUCUUGGAUCUGCUUCAGUAUAAACAUCUGAAGGUUAGAUCUGUUAUAUUUGAGAACGUCUGAGAGUCAAAUCUGCUAUGUCCUCGAUUUGUUCCUUGUAAACACAAGAAUACCAAAUCAUCUUGGAUCUGCUUCAGUAUAAACAUCUGAAGGUUAGAUCUGCUAUAUUUGAGAACGUCUGAGAGUCAAAUCUGCUAUGUCCUCAAUUUGUUUCUUGUAAACACAAGAAUACCAAAUCAUCUUGGAUCUGCUUCAGCAUAAAUGUCUGAAGUCUAGAUCUGCUGUCUUCAAUUUGUUUCCCAUAAGCACAGGGAUGCCAUGUUGAAAUCUUUGAUCUUCAUUGUCCCCUAGAGGACAUGACCUGUAAGAUGAGUAUGUGCCUAUGCCUAAGUAUGCUAUGAUUGAAAUGAGUCGAAUGUCCUUAACAUGUUAUGAUGCAAAGUGCUGUGAAUAUGACCCCUAUCUCAGGUGUCAUCAUUCAUUCCUUCAUUUGUCUUUCUCAAAAUUUUAUUCUUACUCAACUUGUAGGCCUUCCUCCAAUGCUAUGAUCUAUUGAGGAUGUCUGUAAGAAUUGAAUCAUCCAUUUCUUUUUGGACUGGAAGAAAGAAAUCCCCUGAGUUCCUUCAUCCUUUACUUACGUGAAUUUCUCGAACAAUUGACCUGUUUUAGUUUCUUGUAUUAUCCAGAAAUUCCAAAGUAAUGUGCAAAACUUCGUUUGUGAAAAUAUUUUAGUUCAUCUAUCAUUAUUUCAAUGCAACAUACUUUAAAAAUAUCGGGAGAUGAGUAAAUCUUUGAGAAUAAUUGGAUUCGAAUUGUUAACAGUACAAAGGAAAUAAGUCUGAUAGCAUAUCUUUAAGAAGAAAUAGAAUCUAAAGAUACCAAACAGGAUAAAAAUUAGAUACUCUAAAUAUCGCCGCUUGAGCGUCUAUACAUUAGUUCCCCGAAGCCUUUCUUGAGUUCGACAUGUGUUUAAAAGAUCCAAAGUACUUUGUUGAUGCCCCAAUGUACAUUGUGCCUCACUCUCUGUCGAGUCAAAUAUAGCAAGGUUAUUGUGUGCCCUUCAAAAUUUGAGCUGCCCUUUCGGGUUUUCAACUCAAAAUCCCUUUGAUCACAAGGUGCCCUUUGUGGGUUUUCACCUUGGCCUCUCCAUUUUAUUUUAUUUUAUUUUGUUUUUUUUUCAAAAUUCAAGGCGCCUUUUGCGGGUUUUCACCUUGGAUUCUUUUCUCCUUUAGACAAAGUACUUUUUGACUGAGUCUGAGUUUACUGGAUUGGGUAGGCUCUUUCCAUCCAUUUCUGUCAAAAUCAACACACCACCAGAAAAAGCCUUCUUCAAGACGUAUGGCCCCUCCCAAUUCGGCAAUCAUUUUCCUCUAAAGUCCUUCUGAAUGGGAAGGAUUUUCUUUAGCACAAGGUCCCCCUCAUGGAAUUCCCUUGGACGAAUCUUUUUAUCAUAAGCUCGCAUCAUACGCUUCUGGUACAUCUGACCAUGUCGGAUAGCCUUCAGCCUGUUUUCCUCAAUCAAGUUUAGCUGGUCAUAUCGAGACUGAACCCAUUCAGCUUCAUCUAACCUUAUCUCUAUUAAAAUUCGGAGAGAAGGGAGUUGCCCCAGUAGAAGUUCUAACAGAUGUUCGAUAGGCCAAGAGUGCAAACGGUAGCUUUUCAUGCCAAUCCCUAUAAGUCUCAAUCAUCUUUCCCACUAUUUUCUUAAUGUUCUUAUUGGCAGCCUCCACUGCCCCAUUCAUCUUUGGACGAUAGGGUGAAGAGUUGUGAUGCUUGAUUUUGAACUGGUCGCAAAUCUCUGCUAUCGUUUUGUUGUUCAAAUUCAAUGCAUUGUCGGAUAUGAUCCUCUCAGGCAUUCCAUACUGACAAAUGAUUUCCUUCUUCAAAAAUCGACUUACAGCUGACUUAGUAACAUUCGCGUAAGAAGCAGCCUCUACCCAUUUUGUAAAGUAGUCAAUCACUACGAAAAUAAACCGAUGUCCAUUCGAAGCUUUCGACGAUAUUGGUCCGAUGACAUCCAUGCCCCACAUGGAAAAUGGCCAUGGAGACAUCAUGACAUGUAAAGGUGAGGGUGGAACAUGAACUUUGUCCCCACAAAUCUGACAGUUAUGGCAUUUUUUGGCAUAGUUGAUACAGUUUCCUUCCAUAGUGGCCCAGUAAUAGCCAAACCUCAUGAUUUGUCUUGCCAUCGUGAACCUAUUUGCAUGCGUACCACAUACACCUUCAUGAACCUCUUCUAAAAUUAGCUUGGCUUCCAUAGUAUCGACACAUCUCAAAAGUACUUGGUCUUUCCUUCUCUUGUACCGAACAUCCCCGUCCAAAACAUAGUCACAAGCUAACCUUCUCAGGGUUCGUUUGUCAUUUUCGGAUGCCUGUGCUGGAUAUUUACGAUCUCUUACAUAUCGCAAUGUAUCCUGAUACCAAGGAUUGUCAUGCUUUUCUUCCUCUUCAAGGUUACAACAGCUAGCUGGAAAUUCAUAGACACUCAUUUGAAUUGGUCUCAUCUCUUCCUUUUUGUUUGCCUUAAUCAUUGAAGCCAAGGUUGCUAAAGCAUCUGCCAUCUGAUUCUCAUCUCGUGGGAGAUAGUUGAAGGUGAUGUCAUCGAACUCUCUUAGUAACCCCAAAACUACCAUUCGAUAAUUGAUCAAUUUAUGGUCUCUUGUCUCUCAUUCACCUCUUACUUGAUAGAUUACCAACGCAGAAUCUCCAUAUAUUUCUAGGGUCUUUAUGCCUCUUUCUAUGGCUGCUUGGAGCCCUAUGAUGCAUGCUUCGUAUUCAGCCAUAUUAUUUGUACAGUCAAAAUCCAACUUGCAUGUGAAUGGGUAAUGGUCGCCAUUCGGGGAUACCAAGACUGCCCCAAUUCCAUUUCCUACUGCAUUAGAAGCCCCUUCAAAAUUUAGCUUCCAUGGAGAAUCUUCAGUUGCUACUAUACACAUUAACUCCUCAUUUGGAAAAUCAAAAUUCAAUGGCUCGUAAUCCUCCAAAGCUCUACUGGCCAAGAAGUCUGCCACCGCACUUCCUUUGAUAGCCUUCUGACUUACAUAGACUAUAUCGAACUCUGAAAGCAAAAUUUGCCAUCUCGCCAUUCUUCCAUUUAGAGCCGUUGAUUCCAUCAUGUAUUUUAAUGGAUCUAGUUUUGAGAUGAGCCAAGUAGUAUGGUAUAGCAUGUACUGUCUUAAUCUCCGUGUGGUCCAAAUCAACGCACAGCAUAAUUUUUUGAUUGGCGAAUAUCUCAUUUCACAGUCAGUGAAUUUCUUACUGAGAUAAUAAAUUACCUUUUCCCUUUUCCUUGACUCGUCAUGCUGACCAAGCACACAUCCCAUAGAAUUGCUGAACACUGACAAGUAUAGUAUUAACGGUUUAUCUGGACUAGGCGGAGAUAACACUGGAGCAUUCAACAAAUAUUCCUUGACUUUCUCAAAAGCAUUCUGGCAUUCUUCAUCCCAAGUACCUUGAUUGUGCUUUCUGAGAAGACGAAAGAUAGGAUCACAUUUCUCAGUCAAUUGUGAAACGAAAGAUAGGAUCACAUUUCUCAGGCAACUCCCGUAUGGCUCUGACCUUGUCUGAGUCAACUUCAAUUCCCUUUUCACUGACUACGAAGCCUAAUAACUUCCCCGAUCUGGCUCCAAAGGUGCACUUUGCUGGAUUGAGCUUCAACUGAAAUUUUCUCAACCUUAAGUACAAUCUUCUCAAGACCUCAAUGUGUUCUUUUUCUGUUCGCGACUUGGCAAUCAUAUCAUCAACGUAUACCUCAAUAUCCUUAUGCAUCAUGUCGUGAAACAAGUUUACCAUGGCUUGUUGGUAUGUUGCCCCUGCGUUCUUCAACCCAAACGACAUUACUUUAUAACAAAAGGUGCCUCACAAUGUUAUGAAAGUAGUUUUAUCCAUAUCCUCUGGAUGCAUCUUUAUCUGAUUGUAUCCUGAGAAGCCGUCCAUGAAGGAGAACAACGAGUAUCCCGCUGUGUUGUCUACUAAAGUGUCGAUGUGUGGUAGAGGAAAAUUAUCCUUUGGGCUUGCUUUGUUUAGAUCUCUGUAAUCAACGCACAUUCGUACCUUCCCGUCUUUCUUAGGGACAGGUACAAUAUUAGCUACCCAUUCAGAGUACUUCACUUUCUGCAAAAAUCCUGCAUCAAACUGCUUCUUGACUUCAUCUUUUAUUUUCAGGACAAUGUCUGGCCUCAUCCUUCGCAACUUCUGUUGGACCGGUUUACAUUCUUAUCUUAUCGAAAGACGAUGUACUACAAUGUCAGUACUCAAUCCGGGCAUAUCCUGAUAAGACCAUGCAAAGAUAUCCUUGAAUUCCUGAAGCAACUCAAUUAAGCUACGCCUUGUGUCAUUAGCGAUCAGUGUUCCAAUUUUCACCUCCUUCCCUUCCUCUAGGGCUAUAUUCUCUAUUGCCUCUUUUUCAUGUGGCAUGAUUUGUUUCUCCUCCUGUUUUACCAUUCUUAAUAGAUCUAGAGAUACGUCACAAUCUUCAAAAUCCUGAGGCUCCUCUAAACACAUGUCUUGCUCACAAGAGAAAUCAGGAGCAGCAGUAUUAGCGCUCAUAUCAUUGAUAUCUAGAGACCUGUGAGGGGUAUGAAAGAAUAUACAAAGAAUGAAUGAAUUUAAGAAUGAUCGUUUAUGCGCUAUAAAUAAAAGAAUAAGAGUUGUUAGAAUUUAAAGGAAUAUUGGUUGAUAAAAAUGAAGCAAUACUCUUUUAAAUUGAUAAAAAUUAUGUUUUAUUUGAAUAAUAACAGAUGAACAUAAGCCUAUUUUCACAAACAUAAUCUUACUACUCCUAGGCCCUAGAGUAAUAAACAUGUUUCGAGAAUUACUCUGAAAAAUUUCUAAAGACUACAGGAAGAUCCUCCGCAGUCCAAUUAUUUAGAGAGCUCCCCGGUUCGUAAGGGCGAAUACCCUCAAAGUUUUCCUGUCCAAACCAAUCACUAUGUACAACAUUGAUUUGAUGACUCUCUUCUACCAGCAACCCUCCUGACUUAAAGGUUGUGGAUAUAGGUGGGAAUGUCAUCAGUUCCCACGCUACUUCUCAUCCGUUCAAACGCGACUUCCUUCUUGCUUGACGCUUUUCCAUCUCCUGUCUCUUUUGUUUAUGGUCUGGCUUAAAACCCAAACCAAAGCGAUCCUUCUUCUCUAUCAAUUUUGGGACUUGAAUCCCUCUUUGCAACUGUUUUCCUAGUCCUUUUUCCUGGCAAUGCUCCUUUCCCCAUCAUUAUUUGCAGGGCCAUCCUUGUUGCUCUAGACAUUUUGGGAACCGGCACCUCGCUUCCCUCCGAAAUGAAGGUAGCAUUAACAAUUUCGAAGGAACAAAAAGAACACUCGAUAGCCUCCUCAUUUGUCUCCACAUAAGGAGGUUUACUAGUGACGGCUACUAUGAUGUCCUCCUCUGGAUUGAUGGUUAUCAAGCGUCCAUCUGUCACCAACUUCAAUUUUUGGUGCAGUGAAGAAGGCACCACUCCUGCCGAGUGUAUCCAUGGCCUCCCCAACAAACAAUUAUAGGAGGGCUUGAUAUCCAUUACCAGGAAGUCAACUUCAUACGUAUUUGGUCCAAUCUCCAGAGGGAUGUCAAUUCGUCCUAUUACUUUCCUUUCAGUUCCGUCAAAGGCUCUUACCACAUUAUGACAUGUCUUCAUGUGUGAACUGUCGAUGGGUAAUCUGUUCAAUGUAGAUAAUGGAAGGACGUUCAAAGCGGACCCAUUAUCAACGAGUACACUUGGAAGCGUGUAUCCUUUGCAACGAGUGGUGAUGUACAAGCUUUAGUUGACCCUAUGCCUCCAGGUGGAAUUUCAUCAUCAUUGAAGUAGAUGAAAUUAUCAGCACAGAUGUUAUUUAUCAACCGGUCCAACUUAUUGGCAGAUAUAUCAUGAGUGACAUAUGUCUCGUUGAGUACCUUCAACAAUGCUUCUUGAUGCACUUCAGAGCUUAGCAGUAAGGUUAAAAUCGAUAUGCGUGCUGGUUGUUUACGCAACUGCUCGACCACACUAUACUCACUAUGCUUAAGGAACUUUAGAAAUUCCUUAGCUUCCUCCUCCCUCACUGGCUCGUUAACAGGUACUUCACUCUUUUUCUCAAUUUUAACAUUCUUGGGUUUUGUGGGCUCCACUCUGACUUCCCCCAUAUCAUAACGCUUCCUGCUCCGCUUAUGGGAACCUUCAUCUCGUACAUCUUUAGAUGCGCUGGCUAUGUUUCCUUCUCUCGGUACCGUCACGCUACAGUCAUAACUCCAUGGUACUUUCUUGCUAUCCUUGUAAGGGAAAAGAGUAGGUGUAUGGAUAACAACCUUGGGCACUGCUGGUGUCCCCAUUUCAUUAUUCCCUGGCAGGGAGAUAAUGGUCCUUGGUCUACUGGUUCUUUGCUGUUCAUUUUCCAGCACACAUACUUGCUUUUCACUAGAGCUACCUUCAUAAACCUGUAGCUCUUUGUUGUCUAUGAAGCCUUGCACCAAGGCCUUGAAUUCCUCGCAAUCUUCACGGAACUCACCGUAGUCCCACGUUCUUUCUUUCAUUUUUUUAGAGGUCAACAUACCUCUCUUCAUCAUCUUCUCCCAGAUUACCCUCAUAGGCAUCCUUAUCUCAUCAACAUUUUUCUUUUCCCUUUUUUUACCGACUUCACCAAUGGCAUUUACUCUCUGAUUGUUAUGGUUCGGCAAAGGAUUCUCAAUAUUUGAGGUACUCUCAAAUUUUAAAACCCCAUUCUUGAUCAACCUCUCUACGGCUUUCUUGAAUCCAGUACAAUUCUCGAUUGAGUGCCCCGAUAUUCCAGCAUGAUACUCACAUCUGGCAUUUGCAUCAUACCAUUUAGGAUACGGAGGUUGUAAUGGUUUUAAAUGGAAAGGGGCUAUAGCAUGUGUAUCAUAUAGAUUUUGAUAGAGCUCCCUAUACGUCACAGGUAUAGGCGUAAAUUGUAUCCUCUCAUGCCUAAUGUUGGAUUCCUACUUUUGUUGACCAACUGUGGCUACUUUGGGCUGGCUAACUGUGACUGCUUUUGAAUUAAAAUCACUUGUAUUGUUUACCUCAUUGUCUUUUCUUCUUGGGGCUGAUCUUUUGGCUACUUCCCCCUCAAUUCUUCCUCCUCUUAUGGCAUUCUCUAUCAUCUUUCCUGCCAUAACUAUGUCCGCAAAACUUUUAGUAAUGCUUCCAAUCAUAUGAGUAAUAAAUGGGGCUUUCAGAGUAUUAAUAAAUAGCAUAGUGCCCUCCUUCUCUAACAGUGGUGGUUGAACCUGCAUCACUACCUCUCUCCACCUCUGUGCAUAUUGCCUAAAAUUCUCAUUAGGCUUCUUCUCCAUGUUUUGUAGGGUAAUCCUGUCAGGGGUCAUGUCUGUUACAUGAUUGUACUGUUGCAUGAAGGCUUGUGCAAGAUCCCUCCAUGAACUUAUUCUAGCCCGGCUCAACUGAUUGUACCAUCUAGCUGCCGCUCCUAUCAAACUAUCUUGAAAACAAUGGAUCAACAGCUGAUCAUUGUUUACAUACCCCGUCAUCCUUCUGCAAAACAUUGUGAUAUGGGCCUCUGGGCAAGUAGUGCCAUUGUACUUUUCAAAUUCUGGCAUUUUGAAUUUGUGAGGUAACACUAGGUUUGGACCAGACUUAAGUCUUUGGCAUCAAUCCCAUGAUUAUUGCCAGUGCCUUCCAAAGCCUUGAACUUUUCUUCUAACUAUCUGUAGCAUUCAUCCAAUUGCCUUGCAGCUUCGGCCUUCAAAUCCUCUUUUUCCACCAUAUCUAGAUCGGGAACAAGAGGAUUAGUAAGAUUGUCACCCAUAUUAAGCCCUGAACCAACCAGUAAAUUCACAUGGACACCAGCAUCAAUUGGCCCAUGCUAAGGCCUCACAGUAGUCGAUGGCCUUCUAAGAGGUGCCUCAGUUUGCAAUGAUACAUGCGGCGGUGUAAAACCUGGAGGAGGACCCUCAUUUUCCUCUUCAGUGAUGGCCAUAGGAGCAUUUCCUUUAUCAGUGGCCCUCAGUAACUGAGCCAUUUCGGCCAUUAUAUUCCUCUGAGCUUCCAUUAUUUGCUCCCUCAUCUCAUUCUGCAUUUUAGCCAACUGGUCUUGCAUAUCCUUUUGCAACUGCUCAAACCUUUGAUCCAUGUUCUUAGUUUUAGUGCGAGUGCCGUAAGGAUGUGUGAUUUCUAGUUUUUCUUUUCUACCUUUAUAAAGAAACUUUAACUAAUUAGGGUCUUUCUAUAACCUUGAAUGCAUAUGAUAAGAUGUAAUGCAAAUGUAUGAAUGCAACAAAGGCAUCAAUCUCGAUUCAAUCUCAUUUAGAAAACUUUAUUUAGAAAAAGAAUAUCUUUACAUAUAAAUGGAUUACAAGUACGCUUUCGCCCUAAUGCCCAAAGUUUUAACUCUAUCUAAUAAAAGGGCUAACUCUCUUCCUAUGUCUGAUGACGACCCACACAUCAUACUCAAUACAUCGGCUCGUACUGCCAAGUCUUGCACAUAUUCAGCGACCUCUCGAAUCUGAGCUAUGGCUUCUCCCAUGACAUGAUCCCUUUCUCUAAUCUGCCCACUAGACUAAUGAAGCUCUCCCUUUAGAUAAUCUCCUUGCGUUUCGAGUUGCUCGAUCUGAAGUUUACCUUCCUGCAAUGCUGCUUCCAAAUCUUCAACUUUACUCUUUAGCUCUUUUAACUCGACCGUAGAAUCAUGGUUGCGAUGCCAACGAAGGGAUCUUCCAAGCUCAGUUAUUUUAAACUUCAACCCUUUAUUCUCUUCUUCUAAUGCCAAAUUCCGCGGUUGCAUCUCCUAAAACUUCUUCUCCCAAUACUCAGCUCUAGCCUUUCCUUCUUAGAUCUCUUUCUGCAACUGAUCUGAAGACCUUCCUAUUUUCGCUCUUCUCAAAGAUACCUGUGCCUUUUUGUAGUGUUCCUUCAAAUCAUCUCUAUCCUCUUCAAUUUUCCUCUUUUCCUUUCUUUCUUUCUCGACCUCCAUCUUCUGGACAUCGAUAUCUAAACUUAAGUACAUCUUUUCUUCUUCGAGCUUUGCUAUCCUUUUCUCAAGCUCCAAAUUUUUCCUCUCAAAUUCUUGCUUCAUAAUUUCUAACUCCGAGGGCAUCACUUGCAGAUAUUCCUCCAUCGGUCGAGUUCCUUCCAUACUUGGCUCAGGAAUAUUAUCAUUGAUCCUUCUACCUCUCCAUUCAACAUAUUCUGGAGUCGUAGCAGGGCCAAUAGCUACUCCUUUCAACCGACACGUCUUGUUCCAACUGCUAGAGAUCUCACCGACCCUUUUUUUUGUAAUCGGCUCCUCUAUAUGCGAACUCACUUUGAGUUAGCCCAUGAGUUGCUGGCACGAACUGCCUCAAACCGAAUUGCCUUAACACGAGCAAGGGGGCAUAACCAAUGGCACCCCAAAUUCCCAAUAAAGGGACCCAAUCGAAACUGCCGCAACGGUAAAGAAUCUCACCAGGAAUCAUCCACGGAGCUCUCUACUCAACAUCUUUCGACUGAAGAUUUUGAAGUAGUGCAAUCCAAUUCUCCUCUAGAACAUCAACUCUCCUAAUUGAAGCUACUAUGUCCUUCAGCGGUGAGUAAUCCUCGAAGAAAACCCGACAAACGACCUUAUCUAUCAACCGAAAAUGACUAUAGAACCAAGCUAGAAGCAAUUGUGCACAGCCAACAAACCUGCCUGCACCAGCUUUCCAACAUGUGCCUAAGGACCUGAAUGUCUCUGCCAAAAUUGCAGGGACAGAGGUGACCCUCUUACUGAGUUUAUGGAAAAGAUCCGUGGUUGCCUCAUCCACAUAUCCCAAAACUCUAGGGAACACCAUCAAUCCGUACAAACUUAAGGUAAAAACAUCUACCCUCUUUGCUUCAUCAGGGUGUGUCAAGAUCAGACCCUUCAAAGCAUCCCAUGAAAUGCACUUGCACUCGCCCUUCUCUUUACUUCUGGCAGUAAUCCAUUGCUCACUCAUCCCUGUAAUAGUCAUCAAUUUCUUCCAAAAGGUAGGGACAUUAACAGCUCGAGAAUAGAUUCUAUCAACCUGGAACCUAAGACAACGUAACAAGGCAGUGUAUUCCUCUACGGUGGGCACCAAGUCUACCUCCCCAAAAGUAAAGCAACUGUACGCUGGAUUCCAAAACUGAGCGAGGGCUCGGAACAAGUGCUCAUCUAUUUGAACAUUGAGCAAGUAAGGUAAAUCUCUGUAAUUACCAUAGAAUAACUGUUUAGUCUCGUUGCCCUAUUGAUCCCAAAUCUCCUUAAGCUCUUGGAAAUUAUUCUGCGUGACACUCAUGCGAGUAUAUCCUGAUAGCUCCGACAUAUAUCCCGCAGCUAUACUAUCUCCCUUUUCUAAUUGAGUUUGCUCAGACCAUCUAUGGACGUUGGCGUUGCCCUCCACUCUAUCAAGAAGUCCGUUCUCCAUAAUAAAACUCUCUAACUUAGAAACUGACCGUGAAUCGAUACCUUUGUAAAUGCAAAAUGUCAUGCAAACAAAAGAAAAGAAAUAGUCAGUAUCCCAUGAUAUCAAUAAAUCUCAACAAUAGUUUAUAAGGGUAAUAUCUAAAGUUUAACUCUAACUAAGUUGGGCUCUUACGGUUUUUUCUAUAUGAGGUUGGUUCUAAAGUUUGAGGUACCUGAACCAGCAGAUUCCUCGAUCCUCACCCAUUAUAGGCUCAUUUGAAUCGAGUUCAGUUCAGGGGGAUACAUUUCCCUAUGGCUACACAGAGAUGAAAAUCUCACGAAACCAUAGGUACGGAUGUAUCCCAAAAGUGAUCCACUAUCCUGCACGGAGGCAAAAACCUCACGAAGGCAUAGCUUCUCACUCCCACUUAAGGGUGUGACCACAACGGUCAUGCAAAUGCAAUGCGUAUUAGAAUAUAGCAACACAUGCAAUAAUGCAAACGCAUGUAAUGCAAAGAGGAUUAAAUCUUAAAUUUUUUUAAAUUUCCAACAUUAAGACAAGAGAUAAUCAAUUACACGGCUUGACUCUCUUAAACGUCCCCAGUGGAGUCGCCAAGCUGUCGAAACCUUUUUUAAAUCGAGUUUUGGAAAAUGGGAAUUGACUUUAAAAAUGAAAACAGGAGUCGCCACCAAUCUUUUUAGGUGUGAUUGGAUCACCUUUAAAACAUUUGUUUUAAAAUUGUUGGUUUUGGUCUACGAAAUCAAAAGAAUGGGUUUAGGAGCCGGUUACGUACGAGGAAGGGUUAGCACCCUCGUAACGCGCAAAAAUUGGUACCUAAUUGAUUAUCAAAAUGUCUCUAAUGUCGGAAAUUAAAAAUUUUAAGAUGUAAUCCUCUUUAAAGUAUUUGAAAACCUGGGUUUACUUGUAUCAAAGUAUUGUCUAUAAGUUAGCCUUUUAGAAAUCCCUAUCUCAAAACAGCAAAAUAAAAUACUACAUCCAGUAAGUUAGGACAUAUCACUUUGCAAUUCCAAGACAGUCACUUAUAUUUUUAAAUCCUUUAAAAACCUUAGAAGGGUACUUGACUAUCCGAACUUAACGAGAAAAGUUGCAACCCAAUAAGUUAGGGCACUACUUUUUCGAAAUUUCCAAACUUCAAGCAUUGCCUUUAUAUUUUUUUUGAAAAUUUUGGAGCCUUGUCUUUUUAAAGAUUAUGUGUGGAGAAUUGUACUACAUUAUAAAUCAUAAUAAUAUAUAUGUAUAACAUGUAUUUAAAAUGAAUAAACAAAAUAUAUAAACAUACGAAAUAAUAUUUAAAUGAUGCAUGAUAUAUAAAAAAAACAUAAUCAAAUAAUGUGUGGUAUACAAAUAGAAGAAAUAUAGUGCCAAUUUGCAUAUAAUUAUAAUAAAAAUAAACUUAACACAUACAUGAUACAUACAAUAUAAAACAUAUAGAAGAACUAAUAUAAAAAAAAGUAAUUGAUUGCUAACAAAAUAUACAUACAAUUAAAAACAAGACAUUUCAUAACCAUUUUAAAAUAGUAUUUAAUAGAUAAUAUAAUAACAAGAAUAAAAGAAUAGUAAUUAUAUGAUAAUAUAUUGGUUUAGGAGUAUGUAAGAGAUUUCAUAAUAUAACAAUAUUAGUUUAAAAUGAAAUAAUAUAUAGUAAAUAAAUAAUUAAUUAAUAAAAAUAUGUAUAUAGUGUGGGUUAAAAAAUAUGAUUUAAUAAUAAUAAUUUACAUUUUUAAAAUAAUAUAUAUAAUGUAAUCAUAAAUAAUAUAAUUGGCGAUACAUGAUAUACAUAACAUAUAUAUAAAAAAACAAUAAAUAAAAAAAUAUUAUAUAAUAAAAUGUAAUAUAAAUAUAUAUGAAAUAUAAUAGAUAUAAUAUAAAAUAACAUGUAAAACAAUAUAUAUAUAAAUAAUUAAUAAAUAUAUAAUAUAUGUGAAAAUAUAAUAUUAAUUUGAGGAAAAUAAUAUAUAAUAGUAAUAUAUAUAAAAAUAACACUUUUAAUAAUUUUAAUGUAUAAAAGUAAAAUUAAAAUAAAUCAAAUAUUAAUAUAAAAAUAUAUAGAAAUAAAAAAAUUAGGACUAAAUUUAAAGUUUUGUAAAAUUACGGGGCAAAUUUAAAAAGCUAAAACUGAAUUAAGGCCCGAUUUGAAACACCCAAAACGUCACCGUUUCCCCUAAUACGAUUCUAAAUCAUUGGGAGGGUCGAAUUAAAAUAGAAUUAAAAUAUUAAUACCAAAUUAAAAAAUAAAUAAAAUGAAAUUAAAAGUAUAAAUAUUGCGAGAGGACCAAUUGGGUAAUUAACCCAAUUCUCAAAAAUACGCGGAUCCUCCCCGGGUAAUCAGGUCAACGCGCGGAUCCUAUAGUUGUAAAACGACACCGUUUUAAAUAGACUAUAUAAGUCAAACUUCGCCCCUAAAAAUCAUUUUAACAUCCGUUUUUAAGAAAAAAAAAAGAAAAAUCUCUGGAAAAGGAUUCGGGGGCCGAUCCCGGAGCUGCUGAGCCUCCGUCCAGGGGUCUCCUCACGCGCUCACGUGCCGUCCUGUACGGUGGUCUGAGGGUUAAAGUCCUUGUCCUUCCACAGGAAAUCUCUUCCCCUUUUUAAAAGUUACUAUUUUUUUUGCUAAAAUGAUGUACAUACAUUCAUAUGUUCUAAAAUAAUAAAAAAAACACAGUUAAAUCACCUUUUCUUUGAAACUGCUUGUAUUCUUUUUUUAUUUCUGUAUCCGUAAUUGUUACAAGGGUUACAAAGGCUUUUUAUAGCCUACUGAUUUGUUACAUAAGGAAAGAAAUCUCUGAUUUCUUGUCUAUUGUAUCUUUGGCCAUUAUCUGCUAAGUUUCUUUUUCGUUUUGCAGGUACCCCGACAAUCUCUGCGUUAACAGUGGUACCAAAACCAGAAGGGAGACCUGAGAUCACGGUGCUGGACCGUCGCAAGGGGGACGAACGCAUUGAUGGCGCGUCAAUGCAUUGAUGGCCACGAUCUGGAGAGUUGAAUCGACGCUCCCCGAAGUUUCCAGAAGCUGUUGCGGCGCUGUAGGGAGAGAGAGCUAGGAUUAGAAACCCUAGCUGAUGGUGUUAGGUUCUGGGCCUCUAAGAGCUUGGGUCAAUUGGGUCUAGUUUAGGUCUAGGUCUGUAACGGGUAUUGGGUUGUAACCGGGUUUAGGUUUAUUUAAUUUUUGGGCUUACGGGUUAGUGGGCCAUGGUAUUUGGGUCCUGUAAAGGUUUAAAUGGACUAUUUAAAUAAACACUCUAUUUAUUUUAAAGCUCGGUCAAAUUUAGGCUGUUACAGCUGCCCCUCUUUUCUCAUUGCUAUGUAAUAGGAAUCGAUCAAAGACUCAUAGAAAAAACCAAAUUUGACCGGCCUUAUGGUAUUCAACCCUUUUUCAUGACUACCAUGUUGAUAUCUUCGAUCUGCUAAUUGUCGAACAUAGAGAUAUCGAAUCUGGCUCUUCAAUUUGUAGGGAUGCCGAAUCAACUUGAAUCCGUUUGAGAAUGUUUGAGAGUUAUAUCUACCAGUCCUCGAUUUGUCCCUUGUAAGCACAAGGAUGCCAAACCAUCUUGAGUUUUUUUGAGAACAUUUGAGAGUCAUAUCUGCAAUGUCCUAGAUUUGUUCCUUGUAAGCACAAGGAUGCCAAACCAUCUUGAGUCUGUUUGAGAAAAUUUGAGAGUCAUAUUUGCAAUGUCCUCGAUUUGUUCCAUGUAAACACAAGAAUACCAAAUCAUCUUGGAUCUACUUCAGUAUAAACAUCUAAAGGUUAAAUCUGCCAUAUUAGAGAACAUCUGAGAGCCAAAUCUGCUAUGUCUUUGAUUUGUUUCUUGUAAAUACAAGAAUACCAAAUCAUCUUGGAUCUGCUUGAGUAUAAACAUCUCAAGGUUAGAUCUGUUAUAUUUGAGAACAUCUAAGAGUCAAAUCUGCUAUGUCCUCG
Molecule: long non-coding RNA, 14449 nt
Filed under: Gossypium barbadense (sea-island cotton)
Lineage: Eukaryota; Viridiplantae; Streptophyta; Magnoliopsida; Malvales; Malvaceae
Description: long non-coding RNA (GBAR_LNC007943)
Source: RNAcentral